Lagopus muta (rock ptarmigan) is the source of this 1659-nucleotide long non-coding RNA. RefSeq lists it as uncharacterized. The transcript has 3 exons. Lineage: Eukaryota; Metazoa; Chordata; Aves; Galliformes; Phasianidae. The record is from RefSeq and is a predicted model, not a curated record.
AUCACCCCUCUUGGUGUCUUCUGGUGAGCUCAGCUGAAGGGGGUACCAGAUGGGCCUUUAGACGUCAUCAUGCUGACAUCCAGGACUAAAUUUGUCUGUCUUCAGACCCCUGCUGUGGAUUUCAGCUGCAUUUAUGCAAUCUGUCAUCAAACUGGUAUGCAUAUUCAACAAAGUACUGAAGGCUUUUUGACAUUUUGAAGGCAUCUAUGUGCUUCAUCUAAGUAACUAGAACUUGUAAGACUGGAGGAGGAUACUAAACUGUGGCGGGACCCUGUAGCUGACCACUGUCCAGGGAUCUCAGACAGAGCUUCCAGAGAGGGGUGCAAAGUGACAGAGCACCCACUGAGAGCAGGACAGAUAGGCAUCCACUAACGCUUACAACAAAAGAUUGAGGUUAGGUAUGUGGGAAGAUAUGAAGUUGUACUAUCUAUCUAUACUAUACUAUCAUCAUUUUUUCUACAUACUUUUUCAGACCAUAACACUGCUUGGAAGAUUCUGUUUGUACGACACUGACAGUUAAUAGUAAUACUAAUUCCUGAAUUGCACUAAUCUCCCAAAUUCAGAUUGACUUUUCAUGUCAAAAUUGUUCCAAAACUGUUCAACAUCUCAUCGUAGUAGUUCUCCUUUUCCACUUUCAAUGCAAAUAUGUUGUCAUCCAUAGUUUCAUCUCACUGAUGAGAUGGACUCAAGAACAGAAUAACUUCACGGAUCCAGAGUCUUUAACUUAGUCCCCCUUUUCUGGCUAUAAAUCAGACAUCUUUCCAACCCAUCAUGGUCUGUAAAGGUAAAUUAUGUUAUGGAGCAUCAGUUAUUCAGAACCAAAAUAACAAUUGUCACUUAAGUUAAAAAGAAGGAGAAAAAUAUGAAGUAGAACAAAUAUUUUUACUACCAAGAGUGCAGUGCUCUGGCACAAAAAUUUGUGUGAUAACCAUGCCAGCUGCUGCUUUUUUGAGUUGAUUUACCCUGAAGUAGGGUAAACUCAUAUUAUUCCAUAGCUAACUCAGCUGUGAUAAAUUUUCCAUCUGGGUACUCAGGGUUAGAUGCCACGAGAUACAUAUGGCUCAGCUCUCAUUUGAAUAGCAAUAAUUUAAUUGUAGUUCAAUACAUUUACAGGAGAGAACAAUUAUUUUUCAUUUACUGGAGCAGCUUUGUCAACUGAGAGAAAUCACUUCAUCCUGUUAAACCAUUUCACAGAGAAUAUGUGCAAAAAAGGAGUAGAGCCUAUUUCAAGGCACUCAGCAGUCAGCCAAACUGACAUCUGUCUGACAGGUGACACAUUCCUCCUUGUAAGUUUUCCCAAAUGUAACACAGUGCGUAGAUAGUUAUGUAAUGUUCACAGCUCCUAAGGGGAAGACAAGGAUAUCACACAGAAGAAGAUCUUGUACACAUAAAACAAGCCAAUAUUCAGAUUCUGUUAAUAUAAAAGAGCUGAUGUCUGUUUCCUAGCCUAUUGGGGGAAAGAAAAAUUAUGCAUUCAGCCUCUUCCCUGUCAUUUCUGGUCUUCCCCUUUUCAGAGAGUCAGCAAAAGAAGAGGCGGUACCACACACAGUGCCUUGGAGUGAUUAUUUAUUUAUGACAAUUGUUCAUGUAUUAAGCAGAAUACAUGAAGAGUAUACUCUUUAUCUUAAAUAAAGAGAUAGAAUACUUAAAGAGUAAAGG